RNAcentral lists this ribosomal RNA (482 nucleotides) under uncultured bacterium. RNAcentral's name for it is "partial 16S ribosomal RNA". It matches the Rfam family "Bacterial small subunit ribosomal RNA", at positions 30 to 507 of the family's 1533-position model. The record is from RNAcentral.
AUUGAACGCUGGCGGCAUGCCUUACACAUGCAAGUCGAACGGUAACGGGCCUUCGGGUGCCGACGAGUGGCGCACGGGUGAGUAAUACAUCGGAACGUGCCCGAUCGUGGGGGAUAACGAGGCGAAAGCUUUGCUAAUACCGCAUACGAUCUACGGAUGAAAGCAGGGGACCGCAAGGCCUUGCGCGGACGGAGCGGCCGAUGGCAGAUUAGGUAGUUGGUGGGAUAAAAGCGUACCAAGCCGACGAUCUGUAGCUGGUCUGAGAGGAUGAUCAGCCACACUGGGACUGAGACACGGCCCAGACUCCUACGGGAGGCAGCAGUGGGGAAUUUUGGACAAUGGGCGCAAGCCUGAUCCAGCCAUGCCGCGUGCAGGAUGAAGGCCUUCGGGUUGUAAACUGCUUUUGUACGGAACGAAAAGCCUUCUUUUAAUACAGGAGGGUCAUGACGGUACCGUAAGAAUAAGCACCGGCUAACUACGUG